CCAGGCCAAUGGGUAAUGCAGUGCAAACACUUUCCACUAGCAAACCAUUCAGCAAUUUCUAAACAGCUAAAACAAUGCAGUGAGCUUCACAAUAAGACCAGCUUUCACACUGACAGCAGGGACAGCUCUGGAGAAGGGUGGUGCUACAACAGGCGACGUACAAUAGAGAUUGCACCAAUAGAUAUAUUCAGCUUUCUACGUGGUCUGCUGUUCCAGGAGAGCAGUGCACCCAGGGAUUCAAGCUCAGCACACACACCUGCUGCAAAUGAAUUCUUCAUAAGGUACACAGCUGGAUUUUCAUGGGGUGCCGGAAGUUCAGCCUAUCAAACAGAAGGAGCCUGGGACAAAGAUGGAAAAGGACUGAGCAUCUGGGACGUGUUCAGUCAUAAGAAAGGCAAAAUACAACAAAAUGACACCGGGGACUCCUCUUGUGAGGGCUACCACAAAGUCAAGGAUGAUGUUUCUCUGAUGAAGGAGCUGAAGCUUAACCACUAUCGCUUCUCCAUAUCCUGGCCUAGACUCAUCCCCACUGGCAUAAAGUCUGACCAUAUAAAUGAAAAAGGAAUACAGUACUAUGAUGGACUGAUUGACCAGCUGCUGGAGAGCAAGAUCACUCCCGUUGUAACUUUGUAUCACUGGGAUCUUCCACAGGUCUUACAGGAGAAAUAUGGUGGAUGGCAGAAUAUAAGCUUGGUCAAUCAUUUCAAUGAAUUUGCUAACCUGUGCUUUGAAAGAUUUGGCAACCGAGUCAAGUACUGGAUGACUUUCAACAAUCCCUGGUCUGUAGCAGUUGAAGGCUAUGAGACUGGCGAGCAUGCUCCUGGACUAAGACUGAGAGGAACAGGGGCAUACAGGGCUGCACAUCACAUAAUCAAGGCACAUGCUAAAGUUUGGCAUACUUAUGAUACACAAUGGAGGGCAAAACAAAAAGGUCUGGUUGGCAUCUCUCUGUCUGGAGAUUGGGGAGAGCCGGUGGAUAUGAGCAACCAGAAAGACAUUGAAGCAGCUGAGAGAUAUGUCCAGUUCUACCUGGGCUGGUUUGCCACACCCAUCUUUCACGGAGACUACCCUCAAGUGAUGAAAGACUUCAUUGGAAGGAAGAGUGUCCAACAGGGCCUUGGGACGUCUCGCCUGCCAACAUUUUCCACCCAAGAGAAGAGCUACAUCAAGGGGACCUGUGACUUCCUCGGCAUCGGCCAUUUCACCACCCGCUACAUCACCCAAAAGAACAACCCAUCAGGUCGAAGCAGCAGCAGCAGCUACUUCACUGACCGUGACCUGGCAGAGCUGGUUGACCCGCGAUGGCCUGACCCCGGGUCUGAGUGGCUCUAUUCCGUGCCUUGGGGUUUCAGACGUCUGCUCAAUUUUGUCAAGAUUCAGUAUGGAAACCCAAUGAUUUAUGUUACUGAGAAUGGAGUCUCUGAGAAGAUGUUAUGUACAGAGCUGUGUGAUGACUGGAGGAUACAGUAUUAUAAAGACUACAUCAAUGAGAUGCUGAAAGCUAUCAAAGAUGGAGUCAAUGUGAAGGGCUACACCGCAUGGUCCCUGCUGGACAAGUUUGAGUGGGAUGAAGGCUACUCCGAGAGGUUUGGCUUGUACUAUGUGGACUUCAGGAACAAAAACAAGCCUCGCUAUCCCAAAGCCUCUGUUCAGUUUUACAAACGCGUCAUCAGCUCCAAUGGAUUUCCCAAUCAGAGAGAGGUUGAGAACUGGAGGAGGAAGGCUAUUGAGACCUGUUCCUCAAGCAAUCAGCUCCUAGCUGCAGCUAGAAGAAAAUCCAAGGAACAUGCAGAAAUGCCAAAGGUUUGGCCAGUGCAUGAUGAAGUUUAGAACUUGAGGAGGAACAGCGGAGUACUGCUGCCAAUAUUCUAAGACUUAUACAUGACCCUUUGACCAGCCACAUGGAGAUGGUAACUGAGAUCGUUGUUCCCACUGUGUGCACACUCUCUAUUUUGCUCAGUGCCGUCUUCCUUAUGUUCCUGCUGCGGAGGCGGAACUAGACAGUGUGCUUGUUUACAAUCACACACACACACACACACACACACACACACACACCUUUUCUUUCAUGGAUCAUGUGUGAACAUAAAUACAUUAUUUGAACUGAAUUUCGAUGGAAUUAGUGACUUCAUUCAGUUGAUGUGCAUACAGUGUUUGCUGUAAAAAUGUUGGUUAAGCCUUUUAAAAAUCAAUUUAGUACCAGACACUCAAACAGUGUGCAUAGCCCUGCAACAUGUUGGAUUUUCUUAUUACAAUAUUGUUGUGGAAUAUUACCAUUGCAAACAGCCCUUGUGAUCUAUUGUUUUAAGUUGUUCAGCAAAAAAACUUUUCAAAAUCUUU
Molecule: RNA transcript, 2337 nt
Organism: Sander lucioperca (pikeperch)
Lineage: Eukaryota; Metazoa; Chordata; Actinopteri; Perciformes; Percidae
Gene: lctlb
Gene name: lactase-like b
Exons: 16
Source: RefSeq, a predicted model, not a curated record